UAGGAAGUGGUGUAGUGGAAGCACUGGGAGUUUUGAUCUCCCGAGGUAGGGUUCGACCCCCUUCUUUCUAA
RNAcentral lists this transfer RNA (71 nucleotides) under Centropyge flavicauda (whitetail angelfish). RNAcentral's name for it is "tRNA-Gln". It matches the Rfam family "tRNA". From Rfam's summary of the family: Transfer RNA (tRNA) molecules are approximately 80 nucleotides in length. Their secondary structure includes four short double-helical elements and three loops (D, anti-codon, and T loops). The record is from RNAcentral. RNAcentral also lists the same sequence under 3 other names. Lineage: Eukaryota; Metazoa; Chordata; Actinopteri; Pomacanthidae.